Nasonia vitripennis (jewel wasp) is the source of this 1738-nucleotide long non-coding RNA. RefSeq lists it as uncharacterized. The transcript has 4 exons. The record is from RefSeq and is a predicted model, not a curated record. Lineage: Eukaryota; Metazoa; Arthropoda; Insecta; Hymenoptera; Pteromalidae.
UAAAAACAAAAACGACAGCAAACGGCUCGCUCGCUGCCGCACGGAGCGAGCGCGCAUGCGCGCCACAGACUACGGAAGCGCCUAUACGCCACCUAUACGCAAUAGACUAAAGCGCGUUAGGAAGGGGCAAGGCCUUGCUCUUGCGGCAAUAGCAAGGGCUUGGGCUUGCUCGGUGAGUCGGUGUUCCAGGAAAUUGAAUUAUUGAAAUCUCAAAUAGGUACAUAUACACGUACGUGUAUGUACGUCAAGUUGCAGUUGAAGUUUUCUUUAACAAUCUCUUUAACAAUUUGGCUUCGAUUUGUAAUGAAUUAUAACAUAACAUGGAUUCUGGGAAAAAAGAAAUCAUUAUUUUUAAUACAUCAGCCAAACAAGAAAAAUACCUACGGAUCAGUACGUUAACUCUAAAAAGAGCGUCUUAAAAGAUAAUUUUAAGAAAGAUGGAGUGUUAGAAUAUAAAGCAGAUAAAGAAGUAAGAAAACAUUAGAAUAUGGCAAAAGUUGAUGAAUUUUAUUUAAAAAAAAUUGAAGUUAUAAUUUUUCAAUUUCUCUUUGUUCACUGUCAAGAAUUAUGCAACGUCAUCAAUGGAAGAGGAAAAAUAUUGAAGAAAGUUCGUUACAAGAAAUAGUUAACGCUAUUUUAAUGGAGUUGCAAGGUAGUGCCUAUAGGCAAAUUAUAAUUUUGGAUAUCGUGCUAUGUGGAAACGCCUUAGGAAUGUAUACAAGCUCAAAGUGAGACAAAAAGUUGUAAUGAGACUUUUGAAAGAACUUGAUCCUGAAGGUGUUGAAGCAUGCAGUUGGUACAAGUUAAAAAGAAGGGUGUACGAAGUUCCUGGGCCAAAUUAUCUAUGGCAUGCUGAUAACCACGACAAGUUAAAGAGAUUUGGCUUUGCAAUAUGGAUGCAUUGAUGGGUUUUCAAAAAAAUUAUUUGGAUUGAAGUGGCAACAACUAAUAAUGAUCCAGGAAUCAUUGCUCAUUAUUAUUUGCAAAACAUCAAAAAGUGUGGUUUCUUACCAGCUAUUAUACGGACAGAUAAUGGCACAGAAGCUACACUAAUGGAAGAUCUUCACAAAGCUCUGCGUUGGAAGGACACGGAUGAGAAUGCAGGCCAUAAAAGUUUUUUAAGGGGUAAAAGCACUCACAACCAACGCAUAGAAAGUUUUUGGAGACAGUUUCGUCAAAGAUUUUUACAUUAAUUUUUUUAAAGUAAUGGAAACUGAAAACUUGCUGAACGUGUCAAAUAAAUUUGAUAUUGAGUGCUUGAGGUAUUGCUUUGGUCCGCUGAUUCAAGGUGAAAUCUCAUUUGUGAUAAAAGAAUGGAACGAACAUAAGAUCAGGAAGCAAAAUUCAAGGGAUAUUCUUGGAGGAAUACCAAAUGAACUAUAUCAUUGGCCAGAGAAAUAUGGUGCUCAUGACUACAAACGACCUGUAAAAAAAGAAUGCCUUCAAUCACUUUUGAAUGAUUACACAAAGUUUUCAAUUAUUUAUAAUAAGAUUAUAGAAGAAAUAGUGAAUUUGAUUCUUCCAAAUCCAGUAUCCAAUCCAUGUACAGUUGAAGAUGCUUAUCACCUUUACAUUAAAAUCAAGAAUAUAGUUGAAAACUACAUCAUCUGAUGAUGGAACUCAAAAGCUGGACAUCUUCAAAUCAUCGAGAAUGAGUCUCAUUUACAAAAGUGCCAUUCCUAAUUUUAGAUGACUAUUUUUUCUGAUUAUUAUUAUAAUUAUAAAUUAUACAUAUUAG